This 277-nucleotide ribosomal RNA is filed under the name uncultured bacterium. Its description in RNAcentral is "partial 16S ribosomal RNA". It matches the Rfam family "Bacterial small subunit ribosomal RNA", at positions 28 to 308 of the family's 1533-position model. The record is from RNAcentral.
AACGAACGCUGGCGGCGCGCUUAACACAUGCAAGUCGAGCGCUCUGGGGGCAACUCCAGGGAGCGGCGGACGGGUGCGUAACACGUGGGUAAUCUGCCCGGGAGUGUGGGAUAACUCGCCGAAAGGCGAGCUAAUACCGCAUGAGCUCACGGCCUCCUCGGAGGCUGAGAGAAAAGGAGCAAUUCGCUCCCGGAUGAGCCCGCGGCCCAUCAGCUAGUUGGCGGGGUAACGGCCCACCAAGGCGAAGACGGGUAGCUGGUCUGAGAGGACGGCCAGC